Mercenaria mercenaria is the source of this 609-nucleotide long non-coding RNA. RefSeq lists it as uncharacterized. NCBI's taxonomy places the organism in Eukaryota, Metazoa, Mollusca, Bivalvia, Venerida, Veneridae. The transcript is spliced from 4 exons. The record is from RefSeq and is a predicted model, not a curated record.
CUAUAGUGACAAAAAUACAGCGUUCAAAGACAAAUCAGUGAAAAUUUUCAGCUAUUACAACAAUGUCACAGUUCGUUUCCGGCGGAAAUAACAUAUCAUUCUGGGAAACAUUACACGGUGGAGCGCCCUCUACUAAUCGUCCACAUUCCUUGGAAGCUGAUGAUACAGUGCCACCUGUAAAAGUGAAACAAACGUCACAGUCAAACCUCGUAAAAUCGGCUGCAAACUAAACCAUCAGCAAGAUAUCACGUGAGCUGUGAGAUCGUGGUUUAGUUAACACCACGUGACAUUUGGUGCGCACUGCGCAAAGUUACAUGCGCAUUGUGUAAGGUGAAAGUGCUCAAUAGCAAACUCACAACACACAGAUCGAGCAUUUGCCCGGACACAGUCGCACAACGUCAGCCGAUACUAGUAAGUGAUGUCGUCUGCUUACAGAACACAACGCCAGCCGAUACAAGUAAGUGAUGUCGUCUGCUUAUAGAACUCAACGUCAGCCGAUACUAGUAAGUGAUGUCGUCUGCUUACAGAACACAACGCCAGCCGAUACAAGUAAGUGAUGUCGUCUGCUUAUAGAACACAACGUCAGCCGAUACUAGUAAGUGAUGUCGU